Molecule: long non-coding RNA, 371 nt
Filed under: Mytilus galloprovincialis (Mediterranean mussel)
Lineage: Eukaryota; Metazoa; Mollusca; Bivalvia; Mytilida; Mytilidae
Source: RNAcentral
UGGCCAUAAUAGCUGUCUCAUUAGCAUUUUAACCACUUCCCAUAUUUGCUUUUAAGACAAUAGAAGAAAAUUAUUCAAUGCAAAAACAAAACUAACUUGUAAAUAUGAAAUUCUCUUUACAGUAUGAGUUUUUCUCAUUGUUGGAGAUUGUACAGUAGUACCUGUUAUUGCUUAUACCCAUUUCUUAUUCCCUUUAGUUUGAUAAACUCACAGAAUAUAUAUCAUAUAUUUACAUUGUGCCACAUCUCCUUAUUUUUAUAUGCAUUACAAUAACAUGAACAAUUGUAAUUCAAAUCCAUAUAUCAAAGCAAAAUGAAUUUCACUACUUUCAUUCAUGCAUCCUUUGGCAAAAUACAAGUUCUAAAAUGACA